Molecule: long non-coding RNA, 363 nt
Organism: Oncorhynchus tshawytscha (Chinook salmon)
Lineage: Eukaryota; Metazoa; Chordata; Actinopteri; Salmoniformes; Salmonidae
Source: Ensembl
GGCUGGGUGUAGUCAUGUUAUAGAUGGUGGUGUAGAUGAGGCUGGGUGUAGUCAUGUUAUAGAUGGUGGUGUAGAUGAGGCUGGGUGUAGUCAUGUUAUAGAUGGUGGUGUAGAUGAGGCUGGGUGUAGUCAUGUUAUAGAUGGUGGUGUAGAUGAGGCUGGGUGUAGUCAUGUUAUAGAUGGUGGUGUAGAUGAGGCUGUGUCUAGUCAGGUUAUAGAUGGUGGUGUAGAUGAGGCUGUGUCUAGUCAGGUUAUAGAUGGUGGUGUAGAUGAGGCUGGGUGUAGUCAUGUUAUAGAUGGUGGUGUAGAUGAGGCUGGGUCUAGUCAUGUUACUUCCGGUGCCGACAGAGAUGGCCGCCUCGC